CCUACGGGGGGCAGCAGUGGGGAAUAUUGCACAAUGGGGGAAACCCUGAUGCAGCGACGCCGCGUGUGUGAAGAAGUAUUUCGGUACGUAAAGCUCUAUCAGCAGGGAAGAAAAUGACGGUACCUGACUAAGAAGCCCCGGCUAACUACGGGCCAGCAGCCGCGGUAAUACGUAGGGGGCAAGCGUUAUCCGGAUUUACUGGGUGUAAAGGGAGCGUAGACGGAAGCGCAAGUCUGGGGUGAAAUCCCACGGCUUAACCAUGGAGCUGCAUUGGAAACUGUGCAGCUAGAGUGAAGGAGAGGUAAGCGGAAUUCCUAGUGUAGCGGUGAAAUGCGUAGAUAUUAGGAGGAACACCAGUGGCGAAGGCGGCUUACUGGACUGUAACUGACGUUGAGGCUCGAAAGCGUGGGGAGCAAACAGGAUUAGAUACCCGGGUAGUC
This 440-nucleotide ribosomal RNA is filed under the name uncultured bacterium. RNAcentral's name for it is "partial 16S ribosomal RNA". It matches the Rfam family "Bacterial small subunit ribosomal RNA", at positions 338 to 795 of the family's 1533-position model. The record is from RNAcentral.